Molecule: transfer RNA, 72 nt
Filed under: Apaloderma vittatum (bar-tailed trogon)
Lineage: Eukaryota; Metazoa; Chordata; Aves; Trogoniformes; Trogonidae
Rfam family: tRNA
About the family: Transfer RNA (tRNA) molecules are approximately 80 nucleotides in length.
Source: Rfam by way of RNAcentral
GGCUGGUUAGCUCAGUCAGUUGAGCGUGGCGCUAAAAACACCAAGGUCAUGGGUUCGAUUCCUGUUCGGUCC